UUUUUUUAUACCAACUUUUUUGAGAAUCACCUCAGUACCAAACCAGGUCUUACUUGUUCCCUCAAUUACGAUUAACGAACCUUUCUCUUUAUCAUCAUCUAAAGACAUAUCUGCAAAAAAAAAAAAAUCAUUCAAUUUGUGAUCUUUUAACCAUUCACAUGUAUAAAAUAAAUGGACGGUUCAUUAUGAGGAUGUUACUUGUUACCAAAACCGUUGAUUUACAUAAUCGUAAAUGGGGGGACACAAUCAUUAUCAUAUAAAAUAUAUGACCGCUUUUGUUAGAAGGUGAUCAACAAUAACAUAUGGUGAUGUGUGAUUAAUUUAAAAUAUAUAUUGUCAUUGACUCACUCUAGCCGUUCUAAUUUCACGUAAAUUCUUUUCUUAUUAGAGAAAUGAUACAUAAUGUAGAACAAGGCCAGGGCCGGCCCAGGCCCAGUGCAGGAGGGGCGACCGUCCAGGGCCCAAAAAAAUUAGGGGCACCAAAAUUAUUAGGGCGGUAUGUUUAUAUAUGUUUUUAUAAGAGUAUAAAUUUAUAAAAUUUGAUUCAAAGACAUAGAAAUUUAACUAGAAGUGGUGGUUUGUCAUUUGAAAAUAAUAAGGAGGUCUUGGGUUCAAAACACCAUGUGUGCUUAUUUACUUUCCUUUUUUUUACAAAUUUCUUUUUAUAAGAGUAUAAAUUUAGAAAAUUUGGUUAAAGGAUCAAGAAGUUUAAUUAGAAAUAAUGAUUUUUUGUUGUUAAAAUUAAAAAAGGUCCUAAGUUCGAAAUGCUAUGUGCAUGUUUAUUCUUUUCAAUUUUUACAAAUUUUUGUUUGGUUGGUAAUUUAUUUUUAGUUACUAUCUAGUAGCUAUGUGGGUUGUUAUUUUUUAAAUAUUCGUUUUAAUUCAAGUCUAAUCUUCAACAAAGAAUAAUACGUAGACCAAAUUUGCAAAUUAAUAUAUGACGUGUCAUCAAAAUGUUUUAAUUUAGUGCCCAUUCAUUAAUAAUACAUAUCAAUUAAAGACUCGAAAACAUCAUUAUUUUUUAGUCCCAUAUUGACAAGGUUAGUAAAUAAGAAAAAAACACCUCACGAUUUAUUCAAAAAUACAUUCAAAGUUCAAAUGGAAAACAAAACUCAUCAUCUAUCUACUUGUAAGCUCGAAGUUUUUUUGUUUCCCUCUCUCAAUACAAAAUAAAUUAGUCUUUCUGUAUUUCUAAAUUAUUGAGUUUGAAGUGUUUUUCUAAGUAUAAUUUUUUCGAUAUCUUAUGUGUAAAAAUAAAUAAUUUUCUUACAUAAAGUUAGGGCACUUCUUUUUACGUCGCCCCGGGCCUCAAAAAUCUCUGGACCGGCCCUGAACAAGGCACACCACUCCAUAUAUUAAUUUAACAAAAGUUUUGUUAAGAACGUUCUAUCGAUCAUAUAAUAAAAGCGUAAAUCAUACAGCAUGGAAUAAAAUUAUUUAAACUUGUACUGAUUGACCAGGCCCAGCUCAAUUGACAAAGCUAGGCUUAAUUUAUUGCACUGUUGGGGGCCUUAUGUUCCACGUCGCAAAUUGAUAUGUAAUGGUACAUUUUGCGAGAAUGUGAGACCAAAUUAUGCUAAGUGAUUAUAAAGAGUUGAGUUAUUUUGACAAUAUUGAUUUUACAAGAAACCUUAAUUUUUUUCAUGGUAUUAUAGCAAGUCCGCCCAUGUGUGAUGUCUAUUAGCUACACGUGCUUCACGUCAUCUAAUUUAUGUUUUCCACGUCUUAAGCUUGAAAACUCGCUACACGUGAGGGGGCGUGCGAGAAUGUGAGGACAAAGU
This 1781-nucleotide long non-coding RNA is filed under the name Malus domestica (apple). RNAcentral describes it as "long non-coding RNA (MDOM_LNC001315)". The record is from RNAcentral. Lineage: Eukaryota; Viridiplantae; Streptophyta; Magnoliopsida; Rosales; Rosaceae.